UGCUGCAAAAUCAGCAACCGGGCGUGGAAACCCGUUUAUCUUCAAGGCGACACAGACGCCUUUAGCGUCUUUUUU
This 75-nucleotide small RNA is filed under the name Kluyvera cryocrescens. Its description in RNAcentral is "isrK Hfq binding RNA". It matches the Rfam family "isrK Hfq binding RNA". Lineage: Bacteria; Pseudomonadati; Pseudomonadota; Gammaproteobacteria; Enterobacterales; Enterobacteriaceae. The record is from RNAcentral.